Trachymyrmex cornetzi is the source of this 598-nucleotide long non-coding RNA. RefSeq lists it as uncharacterized. The record is from RefSeq and is a predicted model, not a curated record. NCBI's taxonomy places the organism in Eukaryota, Metazoa, Arthropoda, Insecta, Hymenoptera, Formicidae. The transcript has 3 exons.
GGCAAGAUACCCAACGUAACGUUUGGGUGUACGCGCGCGGUCCACGAUCUGUCGAAUAGCAAGCAAAGAGAUAGUGCGAUGUAGUGCCGCCGUUAGUAAAGACCACCAGGUGCCCACCAGAUACCCACCGAGUGCCCAUCGAGAGUCAGUGAUUUCUUUAUAGGCUUCACCGUGCGUGCUGCUAUACGCAUACCCCACUGAUCACUGCGUCGUCUAUCUGCAGUGAUAGAUCAUAGAUCCCAUGUUAUUUCCUACUUGCCUUCUCGUCCCUUACCACUCCAUCCAUACGAUGAAAUCAAUCAUUAAUCAACUUUCCGUGUCGCAAUACUGCUAGAGAUGCGAUCCAUGAUGCAUUACAAGUGCGCAAGAAAACCGGAAAUGAAACAUGUUUUGUGAGCCUUGUAAUUAUAGUUUUCAAGGAGACUGAAACGACCGCUACGUGAUUCUAGGAUCAAGGGCCGCUGAACGAAAACCACAAGAAUGCGGAUGAAGUCAGACAAGCUAUUCCAAAAAAAUGUGAUGUAAUCGCUUCAAAUAUUACGUUAAGAUAAAUAUAAAAAUAUAUAAAAAAUUAUCUUCGCGUCGCGUUCAAUGUCAA